RNAcentral lists this ribosomal RNA (533 nucleotides) under uncultured bacterium. Its description in RNAcentral is "bacterial SSU rRNA". It matches the Rfam family "Bacterial small subunit ribosomal RNA", at positions 9 to 535 of the family's 1533-position model. The record is from RNAcentral.
GGCGGUUUGAUCAUGGCUCAGAUUGAACGCUGGCGGAAUGCUUUACACAUGCAAGUCGAGCGGCAGCGCGGGGCAACCUGGCGGCGAGCGGCGAACGGGUGAGUAAUGCAUCGGAACAUGUCCAUGUCGUGGGGGAUAGCCCGGCGAAAGCCGGAUUAAUACCGCAUACGCCCGAGAGGGGAAAGCCGGGGACCGCAAGGCCUGGCGCGAUUGGGUUGGCCGAUGUCCGAUUAGCUAGUUGGCGGGGUAAAGGCCCACCAAGGCGAUGAUCGGUAGCUGGUCUGAGAGGAUGAUCAGCCACACUGGGACUGAGACACGGCCCAGACUCCUACGGGAGGCAGCAGUGGGGAAUUUUGGACAAUGGGGGAAACCCUGAUCCAGCCAUUCCGCGUGAGUGAAGAAGGCCUUCGGGUUGUAAAGCUCUUUUGUCCGGAGCGAAACGGAUGACGUGAAUAUCGUCGUCUACUGACGGUACCGGAAGAAUAAGCACCGGCUAACUACGUGCCAGCAGCCGCGGUAAUAACCUAAAUAGC